UUAUCUGCAACAUCAUCGGUCACCAGUCGGUCGGUCGAGUAUUUUAGUGCUUGUGGAAACCUUUUCUGGAAGGAGUACUUUGUGUACAUAAAUAUUUAACCAACACACUCUCCUCACACACCUGAGAUGAAUGAUCAGAGUUGGGGGGGGGGACCUGCCGUUUUCUUCCUGUUCAAACCCACGACAGCUCUCCAGGGAAUCAGGAUUUUUAAUUUUAGUUAUUUUUGUUUUUUGUCACCUUAAACCAACAGGAUGAGAUUUCUGAAGGUAGAUAUUCCUGUGGGUGUCGUCCAGUCCCAGAGACAAACGUCCAGUCCCAGAGACAAACGUCCAGGACAGUUAUCACUCACUGUCUGUUUGACUCCAGUCUGAUCUGGAUCAGUGGAUAAAAAUCUAGACCAGAUAUUUGAUGCUGUCCACGUAGUAAUGGAAAAAAAAUCUGGUCUAGGUGGACUGUGGUCCAGUUGGACUGUGGUCUAGGUGGACUGUGGUCCAGUUGGACUGUGGUCCAGGUGGACUGUGGUCUAGGUGGACUGUGGUCCAGUUGGACUGUGGUCCAGGUGGACUGUGGUCCAGGUGGACUGUGGUCUAGGUGGACUGUGGUCUAGGUGGACUGUGGUCCAGUUGGACUGUGGUCCAGUUGGACUGUGUCGUGUUGAUGCUUCAGCCUGAAGGUUACAGCCGACCUCCACCAGCUCUUUGCUCAGUCUCCGUUUUUCCGUCUGUGUAUUUCAGUCUUGUCAUUGGACGUCACGGUCGUCAUAGCAGCAGACUCCGUCAAUGAUAAAUCUUCAAGGUCACAGCAGGACAUCAUUAGAGUGACCUUUCCGUCUACUCACGUCUGUUAAAAUAAUCUGUUUAAGAUUUUUU
Cynoglossus semilaevis (tongue sole) is the source of this 870-nucleotide long non-coding RNA. RefSeq lists it as uncharacterized. The record is from RefSeq and is a predicted model, not a curated record. The transcript is spliced from 2 exons. NCBI's taxonomy places the organism in Eukaryota, Metazoa, Chordata, Actinopteri, Pleuronectiformes, Cynoglossidae.